GAUGAACGCUGUCUACAGGCUUAACACAUGCAAGUCGAGGGGAAACGCCGGGGAAGCUUGCUUCCCCGGGCGUCGACCGGCGCACGGGUGAGUAACGCGUAUCCAACCUGCCUCUGACUGAGGGAUAACCCGUCGAAAGUCGGCCUAAUACCUCAUGGCAUCGUCUGCGGGCAUCCAACGACGAUUAAAGAUUUCAUCGGUCAGGGAUGGGGAUGCGUCUGAUUAGCUUGUUGGCGGGGUAACGGCCCACCAAGGCUACGAUCAGUAGGGGUUCUGAGAGGAAGGUCCCCAAGAGUGGAACUGAGACACGGUCCAAACUCCUACGGGAGGCAGCAGUGAGGAAUAUUGGUGAAUGGGCGGGAGCCUGAACCAGCCAAGUAGCGUGCAGGAUGACGGCCCUAUGGGUUGUAAACUGCUUUUAUGCGGGGAUAAAGUGAGGGACGUGUCCUUCAUUGCAGGUACCGCAUGAAUAAGGACCGGCUAAUUCCGUG
This 491-nucleotide ribosomal RNA is filed under the name uncultured bacterium. RNAcentral's name for it is "partial 16S ribosomal RNA". It matches the Rfam family "Bacterial small subunit ribosomal RNA", at positions 28 to 507 of the family's 1533-position model. The record is from RNAcentral.